GACGAACCGAGCGAACGUUGUUCGGAAUCACUGGGCUUAAAGGGCGCGUAGGCGGGUGCUCAAGUCCGGGGUGAAAUCCUCCAGCUCAACUGGAGAACUGCCUCGGAUACUGGGUGCCUCGAGGGUGGUAGGGGUAUGCGGAACUAUCGGUGGAGCGGUGAAAUGCGUUGAUAUCGAUAGGAACUCCGGUGGCGAAGGCGGCAUACUGGACCACUUCUGACGCUGAGGCGCGAAAGCGUGGGGAGCAAACAGG
RNAcentral lists this ribosomal RNA (253 nucleotides) under uncultured bacterium. Its description in RNAcentral is "partial 16S ribosomal RNA". It matches the Rfam family "Bacterial small subunit ribosomal RNA", at positions 524 to 776 of the family's 1533-position model. The record is from RNAcentral.